Molecule: ribosomal RNA, 540 nt
Filed under: Betta compuncta
Lineage: Eukaryota; Metazoa; Chordata; Actinopteri; Anabantiformes; Osphronemidae
Description: partial 16S ribosomal RNA
Rfam family: Bacterial large subunit ribosomal RNA
Source: RNAcentral
CGCCUGCCCCGUGACAAAAGUUUAACGGCCGCGGUAUUUUGACCGUGCAAAGGUAGCGCAAUCACUUGUCUUUUAAAUGAAGACCUGUAUGAAUGGCAUAACGAGGGCUUAACUGUCUCCUUUUCCCAAUCAAUGAAAUUGAUCUCCUCGUGCAGAAGCGGGGAUAUACACAUAAGACGAGAAGACCCUAUGGAGCUUUAGAUACCAAGACAGAUCUUGUUAAACACCUCAAAAUAACGAAAAAAACUAAAAGAAACCUGCCCUAAUAUCUUUGGUUGGGGCGACCGCGGGGAAACAAACAACCCCCAUGUGGACUGAGAAAACAAAUCUCACAACCAAGAGCCACAGCUCUAGCUAGCAGAACUUCUGACCUUAAGAUCCGGCAAUGCCGAUCAACGGACCGAGUUACCCUAGGGAUAACAGCGCAAUCCUUUUUUAGAGUUCAUAUCGACAAAAGGGUUUACGACCUCGAUGUUGGAUCAGGACAUCCUAAUGGUGCAGCCGCUAUUAAGGGUUCGUUUGUUCAACGAUUAAAGUCCU